GGAGUUAGCCGGUGCUUCUUCUGUGAGUGAUGUCCUUCCUGCCGGCUAUUAACCCGCAGGCCUUCUUCCUCACUGAAAGUGCUUUACAACCCGAAGGCCUUCUUCACACACGCGGCAUGGCUGGAUCAGGGUUGCCCCCAUUGUCCAAUAUUCCCCACUGCUGCCUCCCGUAGGAGUCUGGGCCGUGUCUCAGUCCCAGUGUGGCUGAUCAUCCUCUCAGACCAGCUACGGAUCGUCGCCUUGGUGAGCCGUUACCUCACCAACCAGCUAAUCCGACAUAGGCUCAUCCGAUAGCGCGAGGCCCGAAGGUCCCCCGCUUUCCCCCGUAGGGCGUAUGCGGUAUUAGCCUGGGUUUCCCCAGGUUAUCCCCCACUACCGGGCAGAUUCCUAUGCAUUACUCACACGUCCGCCGCUCGCCACCAGGGAGCAAGCUCCCCGUGCUGCCGCUCGACUUGCAUGUGUUAGGCCUGCCGCCAGCGUUCAAUCUGAGCAGANCAACUACUGA
This 505-nucleotide ribosomal RNA is filed under the name uncultured bacterium. Its description in RNAcentral is "partial 16S ribosomal RNA". The record is from RNAcentral.